AGUCAAUAGAUACCCGGGUAGUCCACGCCGUAAACGAUGAGUACUAGGUGUAGGAGGUAUCGACUCCUUCUGUGCCGCAGUUAAACACAAUAAGUACUCCGCCUGGGGAAGUACGGUCGCAAGAUUAAAACUCAAAGGAAUUGACGGGGGCCCGGCACAAGCAGCGGAGCAUGUGGUUUAAUUCGAAGCAACGCGAAGAACCUUACCUAGACUUGACAUCUCCUGAAUAGCGCAGAGAUGCGUGAAGCCCUUCGGGCGAGGAAGACAGGUGGUGCAUGGUUGUCGUCAGCUCGUGUCGUGAGAUGUUGGGUU
Molecule: ribosomal RNA, 312 nt
Filed under: uncultured bacterium
Lineage: Bacteria
Description: bacterial SSU rRNA
Rfam family: Bacterial small subunit ribosomal RNA
Source: RNAcentral